AGAAUCAACGCUGGCGGCGUGCCUAACACAUGCAAGUCGCACGAGAAAGGGUAGCAAUACCUGAGUACAGUGGCGCACGGGUGAGUAACACGUGACUUAUCUACCUUUGAGUGGGGAAUAACCUGGGGAAACCCGGGCUAAUACCGCAUAAUACCUACGGGUCAAAGCAGCAAUGCGCUUGAAGAGGAGUUCGCGGCAGAUUAGUUAGUUGGCGGGGUAAUGGCCCACCAAGACGAUGAUCUGUA
Molecule: ribosomal RNA, 245 nt
Filed under: uncultured bacterium
Lineage: Bacteria
Description: partial small subunit ribosomal RNA
Rfam family: Bacterial small subunit ribosomal RNA
Source: RNAcentral